CAAAAACAUGCAGUUUUCACUUGUGAUGGAGAGAGUUACUCCUGCAGUGCAGAACCCUACUUUCAGGGAGUAUGAUUACGUUUCUGACUCAGACGAUGACUGUGAGCCUGUGAAGAUAGCCAGUCAAGGACGUCUCAGCCAGAGCAUUCGUUGCAAGUACACAUACACUAAGGAGUGCAAGGGGAGGAUUCGUGCUGACAAGAGCCAGGAAAGUUCAUGGAAACAAAACAAAAAUGAGUGCUUUGAUCCCAAGAAAGCUUUGGAUGUCUCUCCAUCCUUGACGAAAGACAACCCUGGUCACCAAAGGCUCAGAAGACGGAGCAGUAGGUCUUCCACAAGUAGUGAACUCAGCACAUCAAUAAGUAUUUGCAGCGAUAGCAUUGGCAGCCCGAAAAGUACUGAUCAUACAGAUUCCGACUCUGAGAAACGAAUAGAAGUACAGAGGAAAGAUCAAGACUCUCUUGAACAGAAUGUGUACGAACAAUCGCCAGCAAGGAUACGGAAAGAGUCUAGCACAUCACUGGCAUUGACCUUUACGAAAAAUACAAAAAGGUACAGCACUGAUAAGAUACUACUCACUGAGCACAAGGAUCGGUUCACUACUUCAAAAUGUUCAAGCAUUAUCUGUAAGACUGAAGAGACUGCAUCAGAUCAUACAAUGACUAAAAGUACUGUCAGCCUUGCCAGAUUUAAAACCACCAGAGUGGAAAUAGAGGAAAAAGGGGACCACUUCGGGUUUGAGGCAGGAAUGCUUGCAACCACAGAAGAGCCAUUAAAAAAAGAUUACCCCAAAAAUGUCAUAUCACCAAGAGGGUCUGGUAUAACACCAAAUCCAAUGGAAACCACCAACAAUAGAGAUUCUAGCCAUGUUUUUAAACUCAAAAAAGAUGCUGUCACAUCAAAGGGUAAAUCCCACAAGAAAAGAACAUAUAGUUCUGAAUUGUCAGCACCCAUUUUUGAGAAAGCCAGCAAUGACAGCAUAUCAAGUGAAGAAGCCAGCAGAAGCUCAAAUGAUCUAUUCCCUGACCCCCCACCUCUCUGCAGUACAUUUGUGGACAAAGUAUGUUUAUCACAUUCAAAAGUCCAUGAUGCUACAGCACAAAACAAUAGCCAAUGUCUCAUUCCCUAUCCUUCAGAGCAUGAUCAGAGUCCUAUAAAGUCGCC
This 1164-nucleotide long non-coding RNA is filed under the name Sinocyclocheilus grahami. Its description in RNAcentral is "lncRNA (ENSSGRG00000039373.1)". The record is from RNAcentral. Lineage: Eukaryota; Metazoa; Chordata; Actinopteri; Cypriniformes; Cyprinidae.